CAUCCCUAUUGGCCGUUUAUCUAAAUUCUCAUUCGUGUCUCACCUUAUUACUGCGUUUAGUUGUCGCGUUUUGGCGGAGACCUGUCACUUUUCUGGGCCUCUGGCACCGCCGUGGCAGGGCCGACUUUGUUCUUUCGUGUUGAGUUACACAGUUCUGGAUCACGCCAUUUCUGCAGAGACGAUAUCUUCAUAUCGUGCAGAAAAAUUUUAAACUGUCAGGCUCUGACCACAAUGUUAUUAAUGCCAACUUUGUAUGGAUGAUAUGAUAACUCCUCUGUACCGAUCCAUAUUGGGGGUUCGGCUGACGAAGUCUUCAAGAACCUUCGAGAUUUAGAUCCCAUUUUUUCCCAUCAUUACUACCUCUCUCUCGCGUAGGGUGUCGUGAUUCUCUUGGGCUGCUUGUGAGUUAGACUUGUGUAGAUGCAAGCAGCCAAGUGGAAGGAGGAUACUUCAUGAAGAAGGAUAGAAACACGAGGGUUUAUUUCUCCUUUUACGUGCACGUGAACUCUCCAACAACUCAUAGGGUGGAGACCGGCAUGUAUGUCCACGACAGCAACUACAAGGAGCAGUGCCAGAGGUCACUUGAACGGUUUCCACGGAUCUUGAAUUUGUCGGAUGCUGUUCUGGUUUGUCGAGAGAUAUCGAAGGAUACGGUUAGAUAACAAAUUGCCGUUUGGCAAGUGGACGACGCUCAAGCUCCCUGUCAAGGCAAACUGGAAGCAUCAUUUUCAACUAGUAGAUCUGUUGUCAGUUGCCAUGUGGCACAGUCAGCGAUUGAUGGAAUUGUAUCCCAAAAAAAAGCAACAGUCCCUACAAACGGAACGAUCUAUCGUCGCCUUUCGGUAAUUUCGAGAAACCAGAAAAUUGGGCUCCAAUUGAACAAACACCGCACUCGUGUGAAAGAUGCCAGUGGUUUCAAUUCCUGCAAUGAUAGGAAAAACGUGAACAGGCGAUGCUACGUACAGACAGCGGAAAUACACUUUGACUGCCUGGGAACAUGUCAGCGACAAACUGUCCUGGCGGUAUCUCAAGCUUGUUAUCCUCGCUUCUUGAGACAUCAUGUCGCCUGCAUGUUGCGCAGAUACAAGGAAAUACGGUGACUCUUACUGAAGCGGGUAUCAGUUGAGAUGCCGCCCAAGCCAGAGUAGGCUGUCUCUGUCAGUUCCGUC
RNAcentral lists this long non-coding RNA (1169 nucleotides) under Toxoplasma gondii VEG. Lineage: Eukaryota; Apicomplexa; Conoidasida; Eucoccidiorida; Sarcocystidae. The record is from RNAcentral.